ACGGGUGAGUAAUGUCUGGGGAUCUGCCCGAUAGAGGGGGACAACCACUGGAAACGGUGGCUAAUACCGCAUAACGUCGCAAGACCAAAGAGGGGGACCUUCGGGCCUCUCACUAUCGGAUGAACCCAGAUGGGAUUAGCUAGUAGGCGGGGUAACGGCCCACCUAGGCGACGAUCCCUAGCUGGUCUGAGAGGAUGACCAGCCACACUGGAACUGAGACACGGUCCAGACUCCUACGGGAGGCAGCAGUGGGGAAUAUUGCACAAUGGGCGCAAGCCUGAUGCAGCCAUGCCGCGUGUAUGAAGAAGGCCUUCGGGUUGUAAAGUACUUUCAGCGGGGAGGAAGGCAGUGAGGUUAAUAACCUUACUGAUUGACGUUACCCGCAGAAGAAGCACCGGCUAACUCCGUGCCAGCAGCCGCGGUAAUACGGAGGGUGCAAGCGUUAAUCGGAAUUACUGGGCGUAAAGCGCACGCAGGCGGUCUGUUAAGUCAGAUGUGAAAUCCCCGGGCUUAACCUGGGAACUGCAUUUGAAACUGGCAGGCUUGAGUCUCGUAGAGGGGGGUAGAAUUCCAGGUGUA
Molecule: ribosomal RNA, 579 nt
Filed under: uncultured bacterium
Lineage: Bacteria
Description: bacterial SSU rRNA
Rfam family: Bacterial small subunit ribosomal RNA
Source: RNAcentral